Rhipicephalus sanguineus (brown dog tick) is the source of this 673-nucleotide long non-coding RNA. RefSeq lists it as uncharacterized. Lineage: Eukaryota; Metazoa; Arthropoda; Arachnida; Ixodida; Ixodidae. The record is from RefSeq and is a predicted model, not a curated record. The transcript has 3 exons.
UUUUUGUGUGUGUGUGCCAUGCUGUGUUCUGCAAUGCUUCGUUACCACGUUUAUCGAUUAUGCACGUUGGUUACUUGAUUCAAUGUCAAGUGUACCUUCCAAGACGAUCUAGGUCCUAGUCUCGUGACUGAAGGCGAGUGCGGCCGUACAGCAGCCUUUUGACAAGACUGUCGCCGAGUGUACGGUACAUUGUGGACUGUAAAGCUGAAGAGUGCACAGUGGAUGCCUGAUUUUGGAACCGAGUGUGAUCGUCUGGGCGGUGUGUUCACUCUGCGGGGAUGAUGGCCAGAGGAAGGAUGAUAGACAGACGACAGCUUGCAGACGAAGAUGGGAGCGUUCUACCUGUGAGCCUGGUCGAGCUUAUAUUUUAUGGUAGGCAUUUGUUUCAAUCUUUACAAAGAGCUUCGACAUGUUGCGCCUGCUCAUGAACCUAUUGCAACUUUUUUGAGGGAAUUCUAAGAUCAAAGAAACAAGACCCUAGACGUAACUCCAUUAAUGUAUACUUGAUGCUGGACUUGACCUUCUGUGUUGUUUUCCUGUUUUCUUACAGGAUUUGCUGAAAGUUUCUAUUGGAAAUGCGAUAUAAGAUGCAAUUUUGACUAACUCUAACUUCACAAAAGUGCUUUUUGUCAACUACCUGCACGGGGCCUUGGCAGUACAUCUAAGUGUUCUA